GAGACACCCUUAUGGAGCAGGACUUGCUUCAGUGGGGCUUUGGCGCCGGUCACUGAGUCUGCCCCGAGUGUGUCUCU
This 77-nucleotide microRNA precursor is filed under the name Myotis davidii. Its description in RNAcentral is "mir-9229 microRNA precursor family". It matches the Rfam family "mir-9229 microRNA precursor family". Lineage: Eukaryota; Metazoa; Chordata; Mammalia; Chiroptera; Vespertilionidae. The record is from Rfam by way of RNAcentral.